RNAcentral lists this non-coding RNA (21 nucleotides) under Caenorhabditis elegans. The record is from RNAcentral. Lineage: Eukaryota; Metazoa; Nematoda; Chromadorea; Rhabditida; Rhabditidae.
UACUAUACUGGAACUCAUAAU